UGGAUGAACGCUAGCUACAGGCUUAACACAUGCAAGUCGAGGGGCAGCAUUUUAGUUUGCUUGCAAACUAAAGAUGGCGACCGGCGCACGGGUGAGUAACACGUAUCCAACCUGCCGUCUACUCUUGGACAGCCUUCUGAAAGGAAGAUUAAUACAAGAUGGCAUCAUGAGUCCGCACGUUCACAUGAUUAAAGGUAUUCCGGUAGACGAUGGGGAUGCGUUCCAUUAGAUAGUAGGCGGGGUAACGGCCCACCUAGUCUUCGAUGGAUAGGGGUUCUGAGAGGAAGGUCCCCCACAUUGGAACUGAGACACGGUCCAAACUCCUACGGGAGGCAGCAGUGAGGAAUAUUGGUCAAUGGGCGAGAGCCUGAACCAGCCAAGUAGCGUGAAGGAUGACUGCCCUAUGGGUUGUAAACUUCUUUUAUAAAGGAAUAAAGUCGGGUAUGGAUACCCGUUUGCAUGUACUUUAUGAAUAAGGAUCGGCUAACUCCGUGCCAGCAGCCGCGGUAAUACGGAGGAUCCGAGCGUUAUCCGGAUUUAUUGGGUUUAAAGGGAGCGUAGAUGGAUGUUUAAGUCAGUUGUGAAAGUUUGCGGCUCAACCGUAAAAUUGCAGUUGAUACUGGAUAUCUUGAGUGCAGUUGAGGCAGGCGGAAUUCGUGGUGUAGCGGUGAAAUGCUUAGAUAUCACGAAGAACUCCGAUUGCGAAGGCAGCCUGCUAAGCUGCAACUGACAUUGAGGCUCGAAAGUGUGGGUAUCAAACAGGAUUAGAUACCCUGGUAGUCCACACGGUAAACGAUGAAUACUCGCUGUUUGCGAUAUACAGCAAGCGGCCAAGCGAAAGCGUUAAGUAUUCCACCUGGGGAGUACGCCGGCAACGGUGAAACUCAAAGGAAUUGACGGGGGCCCGCACAAGCGGAGGAACAUGUGGUUUAAUUCGAUGAUACGCGAGGAACCUUACCCGGGCUUAAAUUGCAGAUGAAUUACGGUGAAAGCCGUAAGCCGCAAGGCAUCUGUGAAGGUGCUGCAUGGUUGUCGUCAGCUCGUGCCGUGAGGUGUCGGCUUAAGUGCCAUAACGAGCGCAACCCUUGUUGUCAGUUACUAACAGGUUCCGCUGAGGACUCUGACAAGACUGCCAUCGUAAGAUGUGAGGAAGGUGGGGAUGACGUCAAAUCAGCACGGCCCUUACGUCCGGGGCUACACACGUGUUACAAUGGGGGGUACAGAGGGCCGCUACCACGCGAGUGGAUGCCAAUCCCCAAAACCUCUCUCAGUUCGGACUGGAGUCUGCAACCCGACUCCACGAAGCUGGAUUCGCUAGUAAUCGCGCAUCAGCCACGGCGCAGUGAAUACGUUCCCGGGCCUUGUACACACCGCCCGUCAAGCCAUGGGAGCCGGGGGUACCUGAAGUGCGUAACCGCGAGGAGCGCCCUAGGGUA
RNAcentral lists this ribosomal RNA (1436 nucleotides) under uncultured organism. RNAcentral describes it as "SSU rRNA". It matches the Rfam family "Bacterial small subunit ribosomal RNA". The record is from RNAcentral.